UACGUAGGGUGCAAGCGUUAAUCGGAAUUACUGGGCGUAAAGCGUGCGCAGGCGGUUCGGAAAGAAAGAUGUGAAAUCCCAGAGCUUAACUUUGGAACUGCAUUUUUAACUACCGAGCUAGAGUGUGUCAGAGGGAGGUGGGAUUCCGCGUGUAGCAGUGAAAUGCGUAGAUAUGCGGAGGAACACCGAUGGCGAAGGCAGCCUCCUGGGAUAACACUGACGCUCAUGCACGAAAGCGUGGGGGAGCAAACAGGAUUAGAUACCCUGGUAGUCCACGCCCUAAACGAUGUCAACUAGCUGUUGGGGCCUUCGGGCCUUGGUAGCGCAGCUAACGCGUGAGGUUGACCGCCUGGGGAGUACGGUCGCAAGAUUAAAACUCAA
Molecule: ribosomal RNA, 381 nt
Filed under: uncultured bacterium
Lineage: Bacteria
Description: bacterial SSU rRNA
Rfam family: Bacterial small subunit ribosomal RNA
Source: RNAcentral